CUACCCUCUCAGUUUAAAUAAAACAGGUUUUGUUUGAUAUAAAGAAAAUUGCCUUCAUCUUUUGGAUAAUCAAACACAGGAG
Non-coding RNA from Ceratotherium simum simum (southern white rhinoceros), 82 nucleotides. The record is from RefSeq and is a predicted model, not a curated record. NCBI's taxonomy places the organism in Eukaryota, Metazoa, Chordata, Mammalia, Perissodactyla, Rhinocerotidae.